UUUAACAUAAAUACGUAAUGCGGAACUGCUAAAAAUUACCAAGGCCUGUGGUUUUCCGAAUGAGCUAUACCGACACGGAAACAAUAUGAAAUUCCACUUCCCUUCUACAUGGGAAACAUUCUCAAGCAAUAUCGGCGUUAUAUAUUGGAUAUAGUGUUCUGCAGGACAUGACAAAAUGAAUUGGCAUGGACACGAGGGUUUGUUACCAACAACAUUUCUGUUUGUUGUGUAUGUUUUUCUCCUGAUACACCAAGGUGACACCAAAUGCGUGUACAAAACUCGCCGACUCUUGAAGGAUGGCUGUGUGAACUACUGUCCCGAGGACCAAUGUCCCGAGGAAUGUACCUACUGUGACAGCGGCUUCUAUGGGUCUGACUGUACACGGAGCUGCCGAGGACACUGCUUGAAUGGAAGAGUUACAUCAACACUCUGCAGUGACGUCAAGACCCCUUGGUGACAGAUGGUCAAUAUCCCCAUAUUUCCUCACUGGCAUUGCUGUAUUAUCUGCAGUAAUUACUUUCAUUAUCGUCAGCAUCGCCAUCACCAGCAUGAAAGCAACAAGAAUGCAAUCGAAGACGGGAGCAGUUGAGAAGCGUGAAGAGUCUUAUCGGCUCCUCAAUGUGAAAGUCAACGUUAUUAUAAGUAAUGUAGUUUCGUGAAUCUGUAUUAACUGACAUAGGAUGAAACAGACAAAUACGCGAGUAAAAUACCGUACACCAAAAGUGUAUUGAAAGUUAGUAGGGCGUGACAGGUUUUAAAUAACUGCUUUCAAAAAGUUAAAUGUUCAAUAAUAACUUGCUUCUUAAAAUGGAAGUAAAAAUGUAUUUCAAUGAUUUAACAACUACUCAAAGACUUUUGAGAACCUGUGGAAAACUACCACUAGGUGAAGUUCUUUCAUUCACAAGAGAGCAAGUGAUCCUCAAAGGUUUCAAAAACCAUAAACAUGUGACCUACCAGGAGAAAAGGGACCUUAUGGUUGCUUGGAUACAAGUUUGCAGUGACGUCAUAAAGAAAAAAACGUCAACUUACUGUGUGCGGACAUCGUAUAUUCUCUCUUUUCUGCAUUUCGGCAUAUAUACCUAGUUUCAAUCAGACAUUAUAUCUAAAAACUGACAUUAUUACAUAAACAGUCAUAAGUCUGAAAAUGAGUCCAAAUGUUUGAACUCAUGUGUCUCUGUAAUACAUAUGAAUUUAAGCUUAUCAACUGUAUUUUCGUGGCCCUGCGAUCCUGUAAUUUUAACAUAUAAUAAGAAAUCAAAAUGUGAUUUUUCACCCAUAAGGUCCGUCAUCUCAUGGUUGGACACAUAUAUAGCAGCUUAUUAUACAUUUCGGAGUUCAAUAUAUUCUUUAGAUAGUAGUUCACAUUGGUUGUAUUGGGUCUACUCUACUACGCAAUAAACAUGGGUAAGUUUCAUAUGGAUAAGCAGGAAAAAGAGGUUUUGUGCAUUUUUCACCCGUUGAGAUCAUGAUAAAAGCUCUCGAUAAGUAACCAAAUAUCUACGAAGAGGUACAUGUUUGUUUGUUUGUUGUUAAAUGCCGCACUCAGCGAUAUUCCAGCUAUAUUCCAGCUGUACAUAAUCGAGUCUGAACCAGAAAAUCUAGUGAUUGACAUCAUGAGCAUCGAUCCACGCAAUUGGGAAACGAUGACAUGCAUCAACCAAGUCAGCGAGCCUGACCAUCCGAUACCGUUAGUCGCCUCUUAAGACAUACGUGUGCGCAGCCUGAAACGGCUACUCUAGGUAAUUACGCAGUGUUGUUAGAAUAAUGGAUUUUUGAAAUUCGUCAUGCGUAUUUUUACGUCAAGGAGUAGAAUGACCGGAUAUUUAUAUUUAAAGUCAGGAGAAAGGGUAGAGUUGCUUCCCUUUUAUGAUACCAGCUAACAAAGAAAGUAAUGCGAAUGAAUAAUUUUUUGAUGUGUUGUUGAAGAUGGUUUAAUACGUCAUCGUUUAUUGACAACACAAUUUAAAUAUUAAUUGAUUCCCAUAUAACGCGUUAUUUUUCUUAAAUUAUUUUACUGAAACAUCAUUUAUACAUCAUAAUUUGUCUAAACCUUUCUGUCAGUUGAUUUUGAUUUAAGAAACUGACGAGAGUUAAAGGCUAAGGCAGUUUAACAUUUCCGUUUGUUGACAUUCGCUGCGGUUUGUUUUCUUUGGUUGAAAAUACAUAAUGCUAUUGAACAGUGAAUCACAAAACAGUAUACAGUCUCCUAGAAGAUGUAUUUUUGGGUUUGUUUUUAUAUUCUAGACAUGUAAAUUCUGUAGAACUAGAGAUAAAGAUAUAAAGGUAGGUAAAGCAUUCUUCAACAAUCGAUACCUGUGCUGUCUGUGACAGAUUCCUUUGUUUGAAGACUUUAUUGAUGAAUGCCCCGGCGGUGGCCCGAGUUCGAGUAGGUCAUUGAAUCAUCCAACUGAUCAUAAGAGGCGAUUAAAUUGCUUCGGGUGGUUACGCUUGGUGAUAUCUUAUCAUCGUACCUGUCAUUCUGAAUGUCUUUCCUGUUGUUGAUUAUCAUUCUUUGAAUAUAUGCGUCCACAAUGUUGGCUUAUCCAGACUAAAACAAAACGUAGCACUGAAGAAGCAUUUUUUAAGCACAAGAGGUCCCAGUUGCUCUGCCACCAAGAUCGGCACAAAUAAACGGAAAAAAACGCUAGACAAAAACAAACUGUUUGCAGUGCAUACUUGAACAGAUGAAGAAUUGUAUGUAUUUUGUUCUCUGUGUGUCCGUGUCGUGUCCUCAUAUAUAACUUGAUCCCGUUCAAUUUUUUGUUGUUUUUAAGCCAAUUAGUUUUCAAGCUUGUUAUGUAUUCCCGUUUUUGCAGACCCUUUACAAUAAUUAGAGUAUCAACUUUGAUAGGCCUUUAGACGUAAGAUGACAACAUGGACAACAGUAUGGACAACAACCUCUUUGGUAUACAUACAGGAUUGACAGAGUGGGAGAGCAUGACAUUUAUACACAAACAUACAAUAUUAAUAUCAUGUUUAUUAUCUCAUUUAAACUCUUGUGUAAAAACAUCACCUUGUAUCCACUCACCUAUAACUUGUCAAGUCCGUGUCGAAUAAAGGUCAAGGUCUCGAUUAAACGCCGGAAGUAAACGCUGGAUAAAGAGCGUCUUAAAGGAAUAUACGCCCGGGGGGUUUGUUUAAUACGGUACUCCUUUGUUAAUCUACAAUAAAUGUGUCUGCAAAA
RNAcentral lists this unclassified non-coding RNA (3184 nucleotides) under Haliotis rufescens (red abalone). Its description in RNAcentral is "multiple epidermal growth factor-like domains protein 10, transcript variant X5". The record is from RNAcentral. Lineage: Eukaryota; Metazoa; Mollusca; Gastropoda; Lepetellida; Haliotidae.